RNAcentral lists this ribosomal RNA (448 nucleotides) under uncultured bacterium. Its description in RNAcentral is "SSU rRNA". It matches the Rfam family "Bacterial small subunit ribosomal RNA", at positions 26 to 518 of the family's 1533-position model. The record is from RNAcentral.
AGAGCGAACGCUGGCGGCAGGCUUAACACAUGCAAGUCGAGCGGGCGUAGCAAUACGUCAGCGGCAGACGGGUGAGUAACGCGUGGGAACGUACCUUUUGGUUCGGAACAACCCAGGGAAACUUGGGCUAAUACCGGAUAAGCCCUUACGGGGAAAGAUUUAUCGCCGAAAGAUCGGCCCGCGUCUGAUUAGCUAGUUGGUGAGGUAAUGGCUCACCAAGGCGACGAUCAGUAGCUGGUCUGAGAGGAUGAUCAGCCACAUUGGGACUGAGACACGGCCCAAACUCCUACGGGAGGCAGCAGUGGGGAAUAUUGGACAAUGGGCGCAAGCCUGAUCCAGCCAUGCCGCGUGAGUGAUGAAGGCCCUAGGGUUGUAAAGCUCUUUUGUGCGGGAAGAGUAAUGACGGUACGCAAGAAUAAGCCCGGCUAACUUCGCGCCAGCAGGCCGC